Molecule: unclassified non-coding RNA, 412 nt
Filed under: uncultured Bartonella sp.
Lineage: Bacteria; Pseudomonadati; Pseudomonadota; Alphaproteobacteria; Hyphomicrobiales; Bartonellaceae
Description: partial 16S-23S ribosomal RNA intergenic spacer
Rfam family: tRNA (bases 91-164)
Source: RNAcentral
UUUUUUGAAAGGGUGCUUUUAUGAGAUAGAGAUUUUUUAGAUAAUGCUUUUUUAGAUAAUGCUGGGGAAGGUUUUCCGGUUUAUCUCGGAGGGCUUGUAGCUCAGUUGGUUAGAGCGCGCGCUUGAUAAGCGUGAGGUCGGAGGUUCAAGUCCUCCCAGGCCCACCAAUUUACCUAUCCAUUUGCUUUUAUCUGUUUAUUUGCCGAUUUAUCGGUCCAUUGAAUUUAAGUGUUGGUAGCAGUUUUAUAAUGAUGAGAAAUCAUGCUUAUAAAAGAACUCCUUAUAAAAGGCUUGUUUUUAAAAUGUGACGCUUAUCCAUUUCGCUUAGGCAAGAGAAACUUCAAGCGGUUCAAAUACAAAAGGCUUUAAGUUUUGCAAAACACUUUGAAUUUUGCAAAACACUUUGAAUUUU